CUGCAAUCUGAAGUAUCCUACCUCUCUGCUGAAGCAAAUUUAGCUCCAAGAAUAUGUACUCUGUGUUCUUGUGCCACAUUUAAAAGCAGCAUUCAGAUCAGCUGUUUUGGUUCUUUUGUAUUGCAUGGGAGCAAUGGACAAGCCACAAGCAAAAUUUACAAGGGAGUUGCAGUUGCAGAUCACCUUGGCAACAUCAAGACCAUAUCAGUCCAAGGGAAAAUAUAAUGAACACAAAUGAGUGAGUGCUCAGCUACAGUUUCAGACAAAUGGCUGAAUUUUCCAGGUUUUCUGUUCAGUGAACAAAUUACCACAUGGAG
Schistocerca cancellata (South American locust) is the source of this 317-nucleotide long non-coding RNA. RefSeq lists it as uncharacterized. NCBI's taxonomy places the organism in Eukaryota, Metazoa, Arthropoda, Insecta, Orthoptera, Acrididae. The transcript is spliced from 3 exons. The record is from RefSeq and is a predicted model, not a curated record.